CAAUUCCAAGUGAACUGUCAGGAAAGAACCUAGACCAGGAAUUCUUACACAAGCCACAGCCUGACUCAUGUCUGUGCUGCUGGCAGUGCCCUGGCCUCCAGCCAUGGGACUGUGGGUGGCACAAUUCUUGUAUUCUGAGAAAAAGGCAGUGUUGGCACACUGCUUGUCCAGGCCAGUGCUUAAGCCAAUGGAGAAGGGAGGAGGUAAGGAAGUUGGAGUCAAAGAGGCAGUCUUGGGGCCCUUGUGAAUUGAUGAAUAUGAAGACACUAAGAAAGCAGAAAUAGAACUGAGAAGAAUGAAAUAACUGUCUCUACCUUUCUCGAAUUGUCUAAUAUGGAAAGAAUGAAAGACAGCUAAUAAGCAACUCUCUGCAAGAAGACAUAUGGCUUAGGUUCUGCUGAGCUAUUGAAUCUACUUGGAGAGAGUCAAACACAGAAUCCCUUUGAAUUUAAUGGCCAUUCCAGGUGAUUUGAACAGCCAAAUAAGAAACAGGUCCUCUUCAAUGUACAAUCUGCCAAGUAUGAAGUCUGAAUGACCAUCAUUAUUAUGUAUUUAAUGUGCAUAGAAAAUCUAUCUGCAACCUUCCAGAGUGUACCAGAAGUUUGGAAUGUACAUUAUUAUUGGCUCCAUCUCAAACCACUCAUAAAUCAAAGAAAAUAGCAGUUCCAGAGGAAUCAUCAUAGAGGCUUCUAGGCCCCCAUGCUGUGUGAACCUGGUGAGAAAGGGAAGUCUGCUCUCACUGGACACUGGAACUGUUUGUCUCUGUCUCUGCUGUACUUUCCCUGCCUCUACCUCACUUAGUAAAGAAAUCAUCUUUGCUUGAUAACUAAAACAACCAAUAAGGCUGAGAAAGGGGAAAACCCACAUCUGGAUUUAAAUACAAGGUAUUGGGCCAGCUGCUGGGGAUUAAACUUUGAACAAAACAGAUAGAAUCUAUGUCCUCAUGGGAGUGGCUAAUGGGAGAGUCGGAACAAAAAAAUAGCCAAGGAUAAUCCAGCAAAUGAUUUGGUGAAUGCUAUCAAAGAGAGAAAUACACAUGCUCUGGGAACACCAAGAAUAAACGAGAGAAAGGGACAUUAAUAUAUAUUGAAUAUCUGCUGUGUCAGGCACCUUACAUAUAUUGAUUGCUUCUUCACUUCUUUUAAUCUUUACUACACCACAUGAGGCUGUCAUAGAGAUUCUGAGAACAAAUUGUCUAAUUGAGAAACUGCUGAGCAUUGGAAAUGAGCUUGCCAGGGGAACAGAGGGAUACCUGAAUAGCGAAUGCAAGGCAGUUCAAAACUCAAACUCAGGCCACUGGAUUUGCUGCCCACUGCUCCUUGUAUGAUCGCCCUUGGGCACCACAUCCAUGUAGAGUCUUCUUCUAAGAGGCAAGGAAGGUCAAAGCUGAAACCACACAUCCCAGAUUAUGAUUGAGGUGUUUUUAUAGAACUUGUUUAUUUACAGCGUCUAUACUAAAACUUAUUUUUGGAAGCUGUAGUCAAAUAAUGUUUCUUAAGUGCCUUCACAGGAUAGACCAGCAAUAGAUGCUGUGGAAGAAGUGCAUGAUGUAGCUCCUGACCUCAAGACACUUUUCCACUGGAUACGGAUACAGGGCAUAUCUCCAGGGAGAUCAUUCAGGAUAAUGCCCAGUCAUCAGCAGGCAGUGCCAUAUGAAUGCAUAGCAAGUUAUGCUCCAGGAAGCAGAGGAAGCAGAGCACAUGAGGAAUGGGCUUCUAUGUGUAGCUGGAGUCUCACCUGGGUUUUGAAUUCAUAAAUAGUGUUCAAGGAGGAAGCAGGGAGGGUAUAGCUCUUGAUAGGAAGUGAUGGGAUGGCGAUACGAAUAUAUGUUCCUUGUUUGAAAUACCACAUGAAGGGCAUGUGGCUGUGAAACCAACUUUGCAAAGAUGAUGACAGUGAGAGAAAUCUAGCAUGGCUGACUCCAUCUUGCUUCUAGCCUCGCAGGCUGGCUACCCUCACUCACUCUUGGGCAUAGGCCCAGCUAACCAUGGGAGUCAUUUGAUUUAUAGAUUAACUUUGAAACAAGAAUGAUAAGAGUCUCUCCCUAAAACUGACCCCUUCCUUGUUCAGGAGCUGAAACUGCCUUUGUAAGACUAAUGAAAGGCCACAAGAUUAGGAUUAUGGGAGAGGCCUGGAUUCUGCUAAAAUGUAGGUGUAGUAAAUGAUAAACAGACAUUGAUCUCCAGUUGGCUUUUCUAUAAUCCCUUCCUGCUCCGGGGUCAGGUGGCCAGAGGCACAAGAUUUGUGGCUUCCGCAAAUUCUCCUGUAGGUAACAUCACUAUUGUAGAAUUUGAGAUUGGUCUUUUGAGAUGUUUUUCAGGCUUUUGCAUUCUGGCAACUCACUGACCCCAUGACUCAUGACUCAACCUGUUCUGUGGCCCCCACACAGAGGCUAGUUCAGUGCACAAGAACCAUUUUCCACACCCCUAUGUUGUCAUUCCCAACCAAUCAGCAACACCCACCCCUGAGCUCCCUGCCUGCCCAAUUAUCCAUAAAACUCUAGCCUCUGAGUUCUUGGGAUGGCUGAUUUGAGCAAUUAUUCCCAUCCUUCCAUUCAACUAGCCCUGCCAUUAUUAAACUCUUUCUCUACUGCAAUACAUCUGUCUCAGUGAACUGAUUUUAUCUGUGCAGUGGGCAACAAUUAGCCAUUGGGUGAUUAUAGCUGGAAAAGUGCCUACCUUGUGGCAGUUAAACAUGAGGUUUGGAGGGAGACUACCUACAUCUAACCACCACUGACCACCAUUGUAGUUGAGGUUCUGGUCAACUUAUUAACCCUUUGUGCGCACAUGUGCAUGCGUGCACACACACAGACACACACAGACACAUUUUCUCAUGUGUGAAAUGGGGACCAUAAUGUUGGAUCUCCCAGUGUUGCAGGAAGGACUCAUUGUAACAGAACAUGAAAAUAUUUAAUGUGCUGCCUAAUGUAUAACAGACACUGAAUAAAAUAACCACUGUUUUCAUUAGUAAUGGUCUUAGAUACCUAGCUAAGGCAAAAAUUUACUCGAUUUCCUGUCCCUCAUCUUUCAAACUUACUUGGGUUUGUAACCAUCCUUGCUUCCUUCCCCUCUUUUCAAAGUGUUAUUUCCUUUCAAAGUUAAUCCUUUCACUUGAUUCUCAUUCCAUCACGUAUUGUCUUCCUUC
Molecule: long non-coding RNA, 3144 nt
Filed under: Homo sapiens (human)
Lineage: Eukaryota; Metazoa; Chordata; Mammalia; Primates; Hominidae
Description: HSALNT0111916
Source: RNAcentral